AUUAGUAAAAUUUACCCAAAAAAUCGGUGAAAUUUACUGAUGUUCUGAAGAAAUCGAUUCUACCUAUAUUUGAGUAAUCGCAGUCACCCAUAUUUGGGUGAAAAAAUGAAAAUAAAUAAAUAAACAAAACCGAACUGAUGGCCGCCUCGUCAAUGUCGUGGUCGACGCAAGUUUAUAAAUUUUCCUUUUUUUUCAUUGUUCGAGCAGCCAAAGUCGGUAUCCAUUGAUUUGGGUACCUAGUUCCGAGUGUUCUUCAUAUGAGGAUGGAACCUCGGUUGGAACUGUACGACUAUCUCCAGUUCCGGCGAAAAGCACGAUAUCGACCUCCUUGCAUACGGCAAAGAACGAAACUAGUUCCCGAACCAUCGGUGGAGAUUUUGUUGUGAGCCCCUGACCCCAAACGGUUUACCUUAUUCUUCAGAAGUGCCAGUGUUUCGGACUGUUUUGCAACAGUUUCAGUUAGCUCUAGUGAUGCAGAGUAAUCGUGAGAAAACGAGAUCGGUAUUACAGCCAUACAAUUCGGAGGACAUCCGCUGGAAACAAUGACGACACCCAACACAGAAUUCCCAAGUUACUAGAAAAUCCAUUGGACGCAAAUAGAUUUCUGGACAACUCCAACAGAAAGAACUUGACGAUAUUAUUUCCAACAUGCCGUCUCGUCUUGUCUUGGUGUUUCCGAUCAUCAUUUUGGAAGUGCCAUCAUGGCAACGACAACAGAUUCUGUUAAUUCGAGAAGUAAAGGGAUGCGGUGCUGUGCUACUAUCCUAUGAUGCUGCUGACAAAUCAUCCGAAAAGAUUGGAUUGAUCACCAGUUGACAUGCCGUCAAACUCCAGACCAGCAUUGUGCUUCUGUUGUCAGGUAACUUAGGUUCCGGUGCUCCUUUUGUUCCAUACUAGACGCUGCCGCUGAGGGAUGUUCGUGUAUAGUGUUAUCUGUUCCUGCUGAUGAUUUUACAGUAGCAGCCAAGCAUCCGGCAACAUGAAGAUUUAAGAAAUUAAAUCAUACUAUACAAUGAAAAAUUUAGAGCACGAAUUCAAAUAAAAUAGAUAUUUAACUUUAUAUUUAUUUAUAUAACCAAUCCAGUGGCGUAGCCAGGGGGGUGGUUUUGGGCAUAAAACCCCCCCCAGAGACAAAAUUUUCAGAAGAAAUUUUUUUUUCGAAAAAAAAAAUGUUCGGAAAACCCCCCCCAGACCAAUUUUCUGGCUACGCCACUGAACCAAUCAAAUAUUUUGCUUUAUAGUUAUUUAUAUUAU
Armigeres subalbatus is the source of this 1254-nucleotide long non-coding RNA. RefSeq lists it as uncharacterized. The transcript has 3 exons. NCBI's taxonomy places the organism in Eukaryota, Metazoa, Arthropoda, Insecta, Diptera, Culicidae. The record is from RefSeq and is a predicted model, not a curated record.